Molecule: long non-coding RNA, 1854 nt
Organism: Phasianus colchicus (ring-necked pheasant)
Lineage: Eukaryota; Metazoa; Chordata; Aves; Galliformes; Phasianidae
Source: RefSeq, a predicted model, not a curated record
UGCUCCUGCCAGAAAAGGUAGAAAAGUGCUAAUUAAAAUUAGUGAUGACAGAAUGUUGGGAGGCUUUCAAUAAGGAGGAUGUUCACAGUACUCGCAGGCAAAAAUAGAAUACUCUUGAGGACUGGGAUAGAGAAAAAUGGGAGGAAAUACAUGAGUUAAAACAGGACUAUGUUUUCUGUGUAAUAUGAAGGGAAGGGAGGGGAGGUGUAAUACUGGAAACAGAAAAUGGAGCUUCAUGCAUUUUUAUGAUGUGGUGAUAAGGAAUUACGCUAAAUGACUUGUCCAAGCAUUUGACCCCAAACAUUCAUUAUUUCUCCUUUGUCUCCGCCUUUGUCCAAAGAUGUCAAAGUGCUCCAGCCUCUGAGCAAACUUAGGAAGAUGUGAAGAAGAUGUUGUGGAAAGUUGAGACAGUAUUUGAGUUCUCCAAUUCACUCAUUUACUGAAUGAACAGGCCUGAAAGCAUUUAGCUCCUCUCCAGGACUGUGUACUUAGAUUCUCUGGGAAGCAUCAGUGUACCAGUUCUCCCAAUUUUACAGACAACAAAGCUACUAAGAGAGAUGUGGCUGAUUUACAGAGGAGACAGGGUAAAGCCAGAGCAAUUUUAGAACAGAGAGCCUAAUCUUUCUGUUUCUUAUUCUUUUAAUAGUUAUUUUCACAUGGAAAAGAAGUAUGCUCUCUGAAGUCUUUGGGAGUUUUCCCAUUGGUUUAAAUAAGAUGAAGGCAAGUCUGAAAUAAUACAUCAAAUUGAUGUUUUCUACCAAUUCCUGAAAAGUCUUAGUUUCAAAUGCUGUUGAGAUUCUGUUUCUUUUUUUUGUGCUGGUUUCUUGUUGCUUUUUUUCACCAGCAAAAAAACAUAGGAGAACAGAAGCCUUCAGCAGCGUGCUUACUUUGAUAAAACACUUGCUGGGAAAUCUUGCUCACAUUACAGAAUGCAAUUGUUAGUUAAACGUAGAGGAAGUUCUGUAAAAGCUGAUGAUUGAAACUCUCAACUGGGAGAGGGGAACUGUGUUCAAGUGUAUGUCUGAUGACAGGUAACAUAGUUAUCCAGAAUAAAAACUUCAUGAACACAAGUACAGUGAUAGUCAGUGUUUCUGUACGGACCAUAAUCAUCAGCAAUCUGAGAUCUGUGCUCUGUUUUUCCCCCUCUUAACUCCAGUUUCUCAUUCAAACCCACUGCCUUGAAAAAGACAGACACUUCAGAAGUUCAUCAGUUCUACCCAUCAGUUCUACCAAAAAAAACAAUGAAUUGCUCUCUGUAUCUAUUUUUCUCAGUAGACUAAUGGAAAGCCUGAGUAAUUAGCCUAAAUCUUUACAAAGGUAACCUUUUAUGAGAUGGGACACCCCAGCCUUCUAAAAUUCUUGUUUUCUUCUAAUUCUUGAUUUUUUUUACAGAAAAGUAAAAUAGUUUUCUUCCCAGCUCUGUCUCCAUGGAGGUUACUGGUAGGUGGAAAUGAGGCUAUCCCUUUUUAAAUCAUUAUUGAACAAAUAAUAUCAAGGUAAGGCAAUCUGUUGAAUACUAAUGUUAUUUGUCUAGCCUACACCAUUAUCUCAUUCAAUUUACAGCAGUUAUUAAACCUGUGCUGCACUGGUAUAAACAAAAAGGUAGGAAGCUUCAUUAUAGUUUGCCAUGUAUUGUCUUUCCUUUUAUUGAAUGAUGGAGUAAUAGCUUUAAAAAGACCCAGUUCUUUCCGGUGUUUUGGAGCACAGCUGCAGAGGCUUUUCUGCAGGAUGGUAAAUAUUCAUUAAAACAACAGAAGUGAUCAGGCAUACAAGAGACAGGUAGCUCUGAACUGCAGGACUACUUCAAGCUGUGACAGUGAAAUACAGGGGGAUUUAGAAAAAAAAAAAAAAAAA